GUUCCGUGGUUAAGUCGCUGCAUGCUCACAGAGGCUUACUUCAAGCACGGGCUGCAAGGUUUUACUUUCUUCAUCAGGAUUCCUCUCAUGCCACGAAUGGGGAAAGUUCACAGUUGUUGGAGCUGAUAUUCCUAGAGAAAAAUGCUGGAAAGCUACAUAUGGGGCAGUCCUGCUCCUCAGGGCCCACAGAAGCUCAGAUUCCUCCUGUCUACUUGCUCUGCCAAGUGUUGUUUUUGGUGGCUUAACGCCACUUCCACUCUCCAGCCAGUAGAAAGGUGAGAAAAGCGAAAGAGAAGAACAGAAUUCUCUUCACUGCAGGAUCUCCUUACAUCCCACUGAUCAGAAUUUCCACCAUGACCAUGCCUAGAUUCAAGGGGUGAGGUGAGGGGAGGAGCUGGGAAAUGCAGUCUGCAUUCUGUGCCCAGCUAAAAUGUAGGGAUGCGGUUGCCAUAGAAUCGGGGAAAGUGGAUAUGGGGGCAUGGCAGCUGGUGCUCACGGGGCACUCUUUGCCUUUGACAGUGGAUCAGGCAUUAUGCAGAGCACGAAGAGGAGCACAUUGUAGUCUCUGACUUCAGAAGAAGCAGACAGCAAAGGUGGUUUCCUUCCUGGUGGAGAUUGCCGAUUGGACUACAGAAUGGCGAGAAUACUGUGAAAGGAGGAGCAUAGAAAUCCAAGUGUGAUCAGUCAGCAGGUCUUGGCC
Molecule: long non-coding RNA, 700 nt
Filed under: Homo sapiens (human)
Lineage: Eukaryota; Metazoa; Chordata; Mammalia; Primates; Hominidae
Description: non-protein coding lnc-IGSF5-1:3
Source: RNAcentral